CCUGAAGUAAUUCUAAACGUAUAAGAGGUCCCGCCUGCCCUGUGACUAACAGUUUAACGGCCGCGGUAUUCUGACCGUGCGAAGGUAGCGUAAUCACUUGUCUUUUAAAUGAAGACCUGUAUGAAUGGCAUAACGAGGGCUAAGCUGUCUCCUUUUUCCAGUCAAUGAAAUUGAUCUUCCCGUGCAGAAGCGAGAAUAAACACAUAAGACGAGAAGACCCUAUGGAGCUUUAGACACAAGGCAGCUCAUGUAAAACCACCCAAAUUAAAGGUAAUAACAAUAUAAUGUCUGCCCUCAUGUCUUUGGUUGGGGCGACCGCGGAGAAACAAGAAUCCUCCACGUGGAACAAAGAUUCCCUUUUAAAAUAAGAGCCACAGCUCUAAUUAUCAGAAUAUCUGACCAACAAGAUCCGGCAAAGCCGAUCAACGAACCGAGUUACCCUAGGGAUAACAGCGCAAUCCCCUUUUAGAGCCCAUAUCGACAAGGGGGUUUACGACCUCGAUGUUGGAUCAGGACAUCCUAAUGGUGCAGCCGCUAUUAAGGGUUCGUUUGUUCAACGAUUAAAGUCCUACAUGAUCUGAGUUCAGACCGGGGGGA
This 597-nucleotide ribosomal RNA is filed under the name Pseudogobius fulvicaudus. Its description in RNAcentral is "partial large subunit ribosomal RNA". It matches the Rfam family "Bacterial large subunit ribosomal RNA", at positions 1827 to 2624 of the family's 2925-position model. The record is from RNAcentral. Lineage: Eukaryota; Metazoa; Chordata; Actinopteri; Gobiiformes; Gobiidae.